Molecule: ribosomal RNA, 465 nt
Filed under: Vreelandella stevensii
Lineage: Bacteria; Pseudomonadati; Pseudomonadota; Gammaproteobacteria; Oceanospirillales; Halomonadaceae
Description: partial 16S ribosomal RNA
Rfam family: Bacterial small subunit ribosomal RNA
Source: RNAcentral
CCUACGGGCGGCAGCAGUGGGGAAUAUUGGACAAUGGGCGAAAGCCUGAUCCGGCCAUGCCGCGUGUGUGAAGAAGGCCUUCGGGUUGUAAAGCACUUUCAGUGGGGAAGAAAGCCUUGGGGCUAAUACCCUCGAGGAAGGACAUCACCCACAGAAGAAGCACCGGCUAACUCCGUGCCAGCAGCCGCGGUAAUACGGAGGGUGCGAGCGUUAAUCGGAAUUACUGGGCGUAAAGCGCGCGUAGGCGGUCUGAUAAGCCGGUUGUGAAAGCCCCGGGCUCAACCUGGGAACGGCAUCCGGAACUGUCAGGCUAGAGUGCAGGAGAGGAAGGUAGAAUUCCCGGUGUAGCGGUGAAAUGCGUAGAGAUCGGGAGGAAUACCAGUGGCGAAGGCGGUCUUCUGGACUGACACUGACGCUGAGGUGCGAAAGCGUGGGUAGCAAACAGGAUUAGAUACCCUGGUAGUC